GGCCUUUUGAAUUUAAUAUAAGGUCUGACCUGCCCAGUGAUAAUUUUAACGGCCGCGGUAUACUGACCGUGCAAAGGUAGCAUAAUCAUUAGUCUUUUAAUAGAGGGCUGGAAUGAAAGGUUUCACGAGGAACUGACUGUCUCAUUUUAUUUGUUUUAAAAUUUAAUUUUUUAGUUAAAAAGCUAAAAUUUUAUUGGUAGACGAGAAGACCCUAUAGAGCUUUACAUAUAAUUAAAUAAAUAUUUUUAUAUUAAUAUUUUUAUUUAUUUUUGUGUUUUGUUGGGGUGACAAAAAUAUAUAACUAACUUUUUUAUUUACUUUACAUUGAUUUAUGAAUAUUAGAUCCAAUACUAUUGAUUAUUAGACUAAGUUACCUUAGGGAUAACAGCGUAAUCCUCCUCCAGAGUUCAUAUUUACAGGAUGGGCUUGCGACCUCGAUGUUGGAUUAAGAUAAUAAUUAGGUGUAGCCGCUUAAUUGAUAGGUCUGUUCGACCUUUAAAUUCUU
RNAcentral lists this ribosomal RNA (505 nucleotides) under Orthetrum melania. RNAcentral's name for it is "partial 16S ribosomal RNA". It matches the Rfam family "Bacterial large subunit ribosomal RNA", at positions 1819 to 2597 of the family's 2925-position model. Lineage: Eukaryota; Metazoa; Arthropoda; Insecta; Odonata; Libellulidae. The record is from RNAcentral.